RNAcentral lists this transfer RNA (67 nucleotides) under Marmota monax (woodchuck). RNAcentral describes it as "tRNA.Ala". Lineage: Eukaryota; Metazoa; Chordata; Mammalia; Rodentia; Sciuridae. The record is from RNAcentral.
GGUUGUGGCUCAGUGGCAGGGUGCUUGCCUAGCCUGUGUGAGGCACUGGGUUCAAUCCUCAGCACCA